Long non-coding RNA from Esox lucius (northern pike), 2241 nucleotides. Lineage: Eukaryota; Metazoa; Chordata; Actinopteri; Esociformes; Esocidae. The record is from Ensembl.
ACUGUAUAAUUUCAAAUCCAAAGUGCUGAAGUACAGAGUCGAAACAACAAAACGUCUCACUGUUUAAAUACUUACAGACUGCGCAGUAUAGUGAGAAAACAAGGACUCUUGUGGCGGUCAUGCUCAAUUAAACGCCUUUAAUUAUAUCAAAUGGAACCUGGCUUGCAGAAAUUCGGUUCUGUUUUGCUUACUCGAUACCGCAUGGACCAUUUACCAUCUCGUGUACAAAGUGUAUGUUAUUUUCCGCGUGGCAAUAAGCUUGCAACGAUUCGAGUGCGCAUUGCUGACAGAAACGUGGGUUGCAGUUCGCUUUCUUUAGCAGCCCUAACCCUAACCGAUUAGGAUCCUGUAACAUUUGUAGGAUGAAAGAAUAGGCAACAAGAAAACUACCAGGACCGAGUUAACCACACCCACGCUGGGCUUGGACCUGGGUCCUCGGCUUCAAAACACGUGACCAUUACGUUCUUCACUCCAUUAAACACAGUGAGGAGGUUGGUAAAGGGACAAAACAAUCUCCAAGGAUCACAGCAGAAGCACUGGGAAACGUUUUAGGCUACAUGGCAACCUGUAUUCCAUCAAGUACCAGGAGAUUUAAGCCGAAAACCUGUCCGCCUCUGCCAGUAAGCUGGGACCGGCUCCUCGUUGGAUCUUCCACCAUUUACUAAUGAAAGAAUCUUGUUGCAAUGGAUAUCACAGUCCCCUGACCUCAAUUCCUUGGAAACCCUGUGGGAUGAGUUGAGGAGAGUUUACAAGCAAGGAGCAGAGUCUUUGAGAGUUUCUGUAUGGAGGAAGGAUUCCUCCCAGUGUUCUCCCACCUCAUCAAACAUUAUUGGAUUUGACUCAGGGCUGUUAUCUCCACAAGGGGAGGGUACACAAAGUAUUAAAUGCAGCAGUGCCAAUAAUUGCUGCACACUUGUUUUUUACAAUAAUAAUAAUAAUACUAUAAUUUUUUUUCUUUGAAGAAUUUUCACAAAAAAAUUCUACUAAAUUAAUUUCACUUUGUUAUAACCUUAAUACGUAAAAUCAAUAAUAAUCCCAAGCAAAACCACCUCACCAUGUCUACAUAUAUGCUAAACAAACAUUAGCACAAUGAAUAACACCUUGGCAAGUACAAAUAUUUACAUUGUGCCCCUUGUUACAUUCUUACCUUGUUCCACGCACAUACACCAGGAAUUUGAUCUGGUGAAAUCGACUUCACACAUUAAAAGCAGUUAAAAAAAUGAGGUUAAGUAAUGAUGUAAUGAUGCUUACUGGCCACAAGCUGUCGCUGUUGCAGUGGACAAACAGUAUGGCCAAACUGAGGAAGAUUUGAGUUGAGGUCCACACCAAACACAAAUCAAACCCAUAGCGAUCCUUUAAUUCAUUAAGAUGUGUUAUUAAAAUAGAUUUAGUUUACAAAGCCCAUGUCAUUGCCUACCUUCCAGAUCUGCAUUCUUAAACAACUUCUUCCAAAACCAAUUUUUGCCUGUGAUCAAAAACAUUUUGCGACCACAUAAUGUCAAUAAGGGUGAUGGAUUCAACAGUCAAUGUUUACUUUUAUUUUGUUUCAAAUAUAUUUUAUUAGAAGACAGAAACAGACAGGAAUGUAAACAAAAUAAAAGUUCAGGAAAACAAAGGAUUACCAUAAGGCAAUUAUUGUAUAUGAGCUUCUGUGUGGAAAAGAUAAUCAUUGAUUAUGUUCUAUGUUCCACAGUUGGAUUUAUUGCCUAGUCCUGUCCACUCUGUUCUAAAGAAAAUAGAAGACACACAUCUUCCUGAGUGUCUUAUCUAUCGCAAAUAACAUCAUAAUAUUUUGUAGCUUAACUCUUAAAACGGUUAUAGCCACAUUUGUAGGACGAUAACAGAAACCGCUAUGAUUAUUAACAACACAGCAUAAAAUCAGACACAUUUUGCGAUACACGUAACUCUGGUAAAAACAAAAACAAAUGCAGUCCACUCUGUUCAUAACAUAUUGUUUUGGGACAGAAAACAGUAAUGAGAUCAGAUGUUUCAUCAAUGACAAAAGUCAUUUUUCCAUCUUGCUCUAAAGGAUUAUACCUUAGAGUAGGAUGACCAGAUUAUUCAGACCAAUGCUCAUGAAGUGUGCAAAGCUGUCAUCACGGCAUAGGGUGGCUACUUUGAAAAAUCAACAAUGUUAAAGGUAUUUUGAACUGUUUAACAAUUUUGGUUACUACACGAUUCCAUGUGAGUUAUUUCAUAGUUUUGAUGUCUUUACUAUUAUUGUACAAUGUUGAAAAUAGC